AAUUGGACCUGAUAUCAGG
This 19-nucleotide ribosomal RNA is filed under the name Phytophthora medicaginis x Phytophthora cryptogea. RNAcentral describes it as "partial 28S ribosomal RNA". The record is from RNAcentral. Lineage: Eukaryota; Oomycota; Peronosporomycetes; Peronosporales; Peronosporaceae.